Non-coding RNA from Lolium perenne, 3288 nucleotides. The record is from RefSeq and is a predicted model, not a curated record. Lineage: Eukaryota; Viridiplantae; Streptophyta; Magnoliopsida; Poales; Poaceae.
UCAUAUGCUGGACUCCUGGUUAAUUAUCCCGUUCGCCAUCAGAGCCGGUGGAGGCGCAGAGGAGGAGCGGAGAAGGAGCUGGAUGCGGCGUGGAUGAGUAGAUGGACGUCCUCUUCUCUCCCUCCUGAGAUGGAUGGCGGAGCGCCCUCCUCUCCUUCGGCCUGCACCUCCGCCGGUCUCCCAUGGGAGAAUCCUGGGAGCAUCUCCCUAGACCAUGUGGUCGAGGUCUCCCUCCAAAGCUGCGUGAGCAGCACCACCACCACCGCAUAGAGAGCCGCGCGAGGAGGUCGAGAAUGGCGCGCCGGAGACCGAGGCGAGGGGCCGCGGCGGCGGAGGCCGGCGCACUGAUGUAUCGCGCCGGCGGGCAGCAGUUUGGGAAGAGCCGAAGAGGCCUGAGGGUGACGGCGAUGGUGUUUCAUUCGCGGAGCAGAGAGAGGGCUAGGGUCGCGCGCCAUAGGGAGGAGCUUCGUGGUGGGGUCGCGUGGCCGAGCUCACGGCCAGAGCGGAUAAGGCGAGGCCAGGAGCACGCAGGGCCUGCCGGAGUCGAGCGAGAGGAACCACCUCAACACCAGAGGGAGGAGGUCAACAACCACCUGUCGACGAUUCGGUGCGCAGGCAGCAGUGGAUGCGGCAAGGACGGAAACAGCUUCGUUGACCACGGGACUGACGGUGAAUAAAGUGAUUUGCGUAGGUGAUGUGUUUUCCUAAUACAGUAGAAGAUGUCACACCUUGGCUGUGAGAAUUAUGCGCUGACUAUCCAAUUUUGCAUACAGCUCGGUGAGUCUCCUUCCUACUGUGUUCAGAUUAUUCGAUUUUUCCAUAGUUCACAUUGGUAAUUUGAGCUUAAAUUGGAUGCGGAUGUAUGUACUGCUGUUAUGACUACUGCUACUUCAGCACUUCAGUAGUUGUUGCUAUUCGAUACUGAGAUUGAUUUAGAAAUAACGUGACAGAGUUAAUUACAUACAUACUGACGUAAAAGCUCAUUGAUGUGCACAAGAUAUACAUGAACAUCUAUUUAUGGGUUCUGGGAAGUAUUUUAUAUAAUUUCCAGUCUUGAGUACAUGUAGAUUUCAUGUCCCGUGAUGUGGGGAAGCUUAUGUAAUUUAAGCCAUGACAUGUCUUUUCCUUUGGUUAUUUACCUUGGUGCCAAUCAAAUAUUUCUUCUAUGGAUGUGAUGCAUACUCUGAUUUUCAAGGCUUUUUAAUGACAAUUUGCAAAAAAAAAGAGGCUUUUUUAUGAGGAAGAGGAUGUCAUAUUAUGUUGUGUUGCAGGACAUGACUUAUAUAAAUCAUCUAAACAAAAAAAAACGUACAUUAGACUUGAUCGACACAUGUGUGUAGUAUUAUGUAUUCUUCCUAAUUUUGUGUUUGUUACUCAUGCUAAUAAUUCAUACAGCUAAGUAUUGGAGAAGGAAAAUCAAUCAUUAUUUUUUAAAGGUUUUCUUUCCUUCUACAUUGAAAGUUUUUCUUGGUGAGGUGGUGGAGGUAGGUUAUAUUAUCAUGAUAUCCAUGUAUGCUUCUUUCUUGGUAUAAAUGUUCUAUAUAACCAAGGAUAUGCAGAGCUAGCUUGAUGUUGCACAUGUAUAAGGGGCACAAUUAGUUAUAUGAUGUAAAAAAUAGUAGUAGGUUACCUCUUUAUUUCCAUGUCCUCAGAGAUUUUAAUUUUGAAUUGUGGAUGUUAUUUUAAAAAACAGAAUGUGUCAAUUCUCAUAGAGAUGUGUCAGUGAAAGAAAAUUCCCUGCUUUAUACCCCACACCUUACACUGGGAAAUUCUGAUUCAGAUCCUGGAUUGCAUAGACGUACAGUUAGUAUUAUUUGUUCUACCCAAAAAAAAAAUAGGCCAAUCAGGAAAGCCUGCUUAAUUAUCAAUGGGAAGCCAAUUUACCAUGUCAUGUCUUAUCGUACUCAUCUUUGAAAGGAAUAGAUAUUGAAUUUCACAAUCGUGUGUUACCCUUAAAAUCAUUUACUCUCCCUGUCUUACGUUGUUUCGUUUUCUGAUUGUUUUAUUCAAAAUAAACUAAACCAUUUCGAAUUGAACCUACAAUGCUGCUCUGUUUCAAGGGAUUUUUGGUUUUUGAUCAAUUCGUUUAUAUCUAACGUAUAGAGAAUGCUAAAAAGAAGCAUACCCCGAUGAAAACAUGUAUCAGUAGGAACUAUACAUGUUUCUGACCAUACCUUGGCAUAAGCUAAUCCUGGGAUAUACAGAACUAGCAUAGCACCUUUUUUAUUUAUUUCCACAACGUAUGGUUCUAAAUUUUCAGGCGGUGUACUCCCUGGUACCAUCUGAACUCGCCCAUAUGAAACUCCAUUGCGCACUGUGAGCCAUGGUAUCGAGGUUUUCAAUGGCUUACUGUGUGUUCUUUCUGCUAGCCUGGUCCUCCUGUCGGCGUCGCUGAUAUCACAGCUAUGGAGCACAAACGGACACAUGCUCACAUGCCAGAUUGCACAGAUAAAAGAAUAUGACAUUCAGUUUCAUUGUAAGAUGUUCACAUGCAUUGCCAAGUGGCAACUGAAAUGGGUGGUUGAUCCCGUUGCAGAGUCUGCUGGAGCCUGCUGCCGCACACACCAUGAAGAACCUACUCCUUGAGGAGGCGGGCGACGACAUAUCCGUGUUGUACACCUGUCCAGACCAGAUAUAUGGACGUGCUACUGCUGUUAAUGGCUAGGGUGAAAAGGUCACUGUCUCACCUUGGUACUCUUAUUCCCCAUGAAUUUGUCGCGCUCGGGUUGUACUUUGGGGUGAAGCCAUCAAGGGCCCAACCCACAGAAAAGAUGCAUGCCGAGGAGAGGUAUCACCACUAUGAGGUUAGGGAGCUGUUGGAGGCCUGUAUUGACUGUCGCUGGCUCCGCUCCGCCAUGCCAAUUCCAGUGAUUGGAUUGCCUGCCAAACACUCCAUAUAAUUUCCCAACCACAGAGCCUAAUGCAGAUCAUCUUGAGGAAUACAACAACGACAAGAAAAAACUCAGCUACGUGUACUACAUUUUAAGUCGAUUGCAUGUGCAACACCAUUCGUGUUCCGGCAUGGGGUCUGCUGAUGUUCAGCUGCUAGGAGUCACAUAGCUGCGUACUUUAUGCAUACAUCUUUUUCUGUGCCGCAAGGUAUUAACUGUCUUGCAUAUACAUGAUUCAUCAUACACAAUGCAGUUAUUGUCUUACCGAACUCAUGUUACUUUUUAGAAAAUAAUAUAUUUCUUCAGAACAUUAGUCCAAGUAGUUCUCUUAUAAGUAUAGGCAUCUUUUUAAUGGAGAUAGUUUUACUUCCUAAACAAAUAUACAUAGUGUAUUCUC